AAUGAACGCUGGCGGCGCGCCUAAUACAUGCAAGUCGAGCGAGAAGACGUAGCAAUACGUUUGUAAAGCGGCGAACGGGUGAGGAAUACAUGGGUAACCUACCCUCGAGUGGGGAAUAACUAGCCGAAAGGUUAGCUAAUACCGCGUACGCUCCUUGGACUUCGGUUCAGGGAGGAAAGCGAUACCGUGGGUAUCGCGCUCUUGGUUGGGCUCAUGUCCUAUCAGCUUGUUGGUGAGGAACGGCUCACCAAGGCUUCGACGGGUAGCUGGUCUGAGAGGACGAUCAGCCACACUGGCACUGCGACACGGGCCAGACUCCUACGGGAGGCAGCAGUAAGGAAUAUUGCGCAAUGGGCGAAAGCCUGACGCAGCGACGCCGCGGUGGGGAUGAAGGUCUUCGGAUUCGUAAACCCCUUUCGGGAGGGAAGAUGGAACGAGCAAUCGUUCGGACGGUACCUCCAGAAGCAGCC
Molecule: ribosomal RNA, 470 nt
Filed under: uncultured bacterium
Lineage: Bacteria
Description: bacterial SSU rRNA
Rfam family: Bacterial small subunit ribosomal RNA
Source: RNAcentral